AAUUUUGCACAAUGGGGCAAACCGUGAUCCAGCCAUGCCGCGUGAGCGAAGAACACCCACGGCUUGUAAAGCUCUUUUGGCCGUAAAGAAAGGGUUCUCUUGAAUCCGGGAGACUUAUGACGGUACCGGCAGAAUAAGCACCGGCUAACUACGUGCCAGCAGCCGCGGUAAUACGUAGGGUGCGAGCGUUAAUCGGAAUUACUGGGCGUAAAGAGUGCGUAGGCGGUUCUUUAUGUCAGGUGUGAAAUCCCCGGGCUCAACUCGGGAAUUGCAGUGGAAACUGGCGGUCUAGAGUAUGGCAGAGGAGAGUGGAAUUCCGAGUGUAGCAGUGAAAUGCGUAGAGAUGCGGAGGAACACCGGUGGCGAAGGCAGCUCCCUGGCCUAACACUGACGCUGAGGCACGAAAGCGUGGGGAGCAAACAGGAUUAGAUACCCUGGUAGUCCACGCCCUAAACGAUGCUCACUAGGUGUGGGAGAAGCGACUUUCCUGUGCCGCAGCUAACGCGUG
Molecule: ribosomal RNA, 508 nt
Filed under: uncultured beta proteobacterium
Lineage: Bacteria; Pseudomonadati; Pseudomonadota; Betaproteobacteria
Description: bacterial SSU rRNA
Rfam family: Bacterial small subunit ribosomal RNA
Source: RNAcentral